Molecule: long non-coding RNA, 211 nt
Filed under: Salvia miltiorrhiza (redroot sage)
Lineage: Eukaryota; Viridiplantae; Streptophyta; Magnoliopsida; Lamiales; Lamiaceae
Description: long non-coding RNA (SMIL_LNC014438)
Source: RNAcentral
ACUCCCUCCGUCCACGAAAUGAGUACCCAUUUGUGGACGGCACGGGUUUUAAGAAAUGUAUGGAGUGUAGUGUGAAUAGUUUAAGGGUCCCACUUUUUUAGUGUAUUGAUUAAAGAGAUGUGUGGGGUACACUUGCCAAAAAGGGAAAUGGGUACUCAUUUCGUGGACGGACGAAAAAGGAAAUAUGGGUACUCAUUUCGUGGACGGAGGG